This 638-nucleotide ribosomal RNA is filed under the name Acidisoma sp. RNAcentral describes it as "bacterial SSU rRNA". It matches the Rfam family "Bacterial small subunit ribosomal RNA", at positions 75 to 752 of the family's 1533-position model. Lineage: Bacteria; Pseudomonadati; Pseudomonadota; Alphaproteobacteria; Acetobacterales; Acidocellaceae. The record is from RNAcentral.
AGGGGUAACUCUGUCAGUGGCGGACGGGUGAGUAACGCGUAGGAAUCUGUCCUUGGGUGGGGGAUAACAGUGGGAAACUACUGCUAAUACCGCAUGACAACUGAGGUUUAAAGGCGCGAGUCGCCUGAGGAGGAGCCUGCGUUCGAUUAGCUAGUUGGUGGGGUAAAGGCCUACCAAGGCGACGAUCGAUAGCUGGUCUGAGAGGAUGAUCAGCCACACUGGGACUGAGACACGGCCCAGACUCCUACGGGAGGCAGCAGUGGGGAAUAUUGGACAAUGGGCGCAAGCCUGAUCCAGCAAUGCCGCGUGGGUGAAGAAGGUUUUCGGAUUGUAAAGCCCUUUUGGCAGGGACGAUGAUGACGGUACCUGCAGAAUAAGCCCCGGCUAACUUCGUGCCAGCAGCCGCGGUAAUACGAAGGGGGCUAGCGUUGCUCGGAAUGACUGGGCGUAAAGGGCGCGUAGGCGGCGAUCAAAGUCAGGCGUGAAAUUCCUGGGCUCAACCUGGGGGCUGCGCUUGAUACUUGGUUGCUUGAGUGGGGAAGAGGGUCGUGGAAUUCCCAGUGUAGAGGUGAAAUUCGUAGAUAUUGGGAAGAACACCGGUGGCGAAGGCGGCGACCUGGUCCUGACUGACGCUGAGC